AAUUUCUUCUCUCUUUUUUGAAUUUAUGUAUGUUUUAUUUGGAUUAGAUUCAUAGUUUUAUAUGCUUCUUUUGACGCUUCCAAUUUUAGAGAUUGGUAGAAUACACUUCAUGGUGAUUGUUGUCAUCAUGUAUUUACUCGCGAGUUGAAUAAUUUGCUUAUAUUAACUAAUCGUCGCAUCUUCUAUUUAUACACUGUUUUUUAGAUAUGCAUUUAAAUUUUAAGAUAUAUCUUGUAUAUGUACGUAUUAUUCUUCUCUCAGGAUAUGGGAAAGUGAAAAAACAAAUCCAAUCUAGAAGAUAUUGGGAAAACUUUAAAGAGACAGAUUCUGAGUUUAUCAACAACAGUUGCACUAUACAAUUAUCACUGAUCCCUUCAACACUCCAAUUAUAAGCCAUUGAAAGUUACCGUAGGUGGAAUCCACUAUACUGGAAAUGUGAAAAGUCUGAUAAAGAAUUUUAAACAUGAUGAAAGAUACUGGAGAAAGUAUUCUAAGAGACAAAAUUGUUCAUGCUAUGCAAUCUUAUAGGAAAAUUCAGAUGAAGGUAGUAAGUUGGUGGCAUACCAAGGCUCAAAGAAGUUGGUCAUACCAAAAAAGGUGGUCAAAAUAGUGGCAUUUACACAAAACAUUACAUUGACUAUGAGGGGACAUUAAAUGACGUCAUGUUUUUUUAAUGCCUUUAAAUAACCAUCAAAGUGAUACUGCAUUUACAUCAUCAUGGGAAUCCAAUGCACAUAAUCGGGAUGAUUGCAUAUCAGAUAAUGGUUCACGAAAGCAUGGUUUUAUAAUGAAUAAUGUUGCAGCAUAUGAAUUAAGGAAUCCUCAAUAUGGCACCACACCUCACUUCACACUGUUUAGUUCGUGCAUCAAGAUCACGGCAAGAAUACGUGUUGUACCACCUAUCCAGCAUUUUCACUUUGACAUACCUAGUGAUGAUAGUCCAACUCCAAAAAUAAAAGUAGUGGUUGACCCUGGUCCAAGCCACCAAUCCAGGUCAGUGAGCAAUACACAAGAUGAUUUUCCCAUGCUCAAUAUAAAGUCUGAAGGCCACCUAUCAGAUCCAAUCUAUCAGGACCCUUUUAAUGAUAUAGAACCUUAUAUUCCAACUAUUCCAAACUAUUCAUCUUCGUUACAAGGUCAAGACAUAUCUAAUUCGGCAUCGAACAGGGCAAUUGACAAGAAUUGGAUUAGUUGGGAUAAUUUUGAGGCUUGGAAUGAUUUUGAGGAAUGGAGCCAUGAUUAGCAGACUAGUGAAGGCAUAUGAUAUUUAUUUUUUGAUUAAAACUAUGUAUUUUUUAAUUUUAUGUCUGUUAACAAUUUUUUGACAAUAAUUUAUUUGAUGCAUAUGUAAUGUAUCAAUAUAUUACCAUUUUAUUAUAAUUACUAGCAAUGACUCUACUAUGCUCGGUUGAAAUGUGUAGUGUAAGUGAAGACAUUAAAAUGAAAAGUUAGUGUGAUUUUGUUUUUCCAUCCCGUGAUUUUUUAAAAAAAAAUAAAAAAUAAAAAUAAAACAUGCCAUGAUCUCUGGCCGCUUGGCCACCGUCUCAAUUUUCAUUCUUUUGUAUUUGUUAAAAUCAUGUUACCGUUACAUGUGACAUGGCAUUUAAACCAAAGAAGGGAAAAAAUUGCAAGAAAAAAUAAGUGGUUGUAGUUUCCCCAUUUUGGUGGAUACCAAAUAGAUUCCAAUCAAUGAUUCUUCUCUGGAUUCAUGGGGAAAAAAUCAGGAAGUAAGUGACUGACAUGUUUUCCAAAACUGUGUUAAAAAAUCUGAUUUCAUGUGAUAUUAUGAGUCUACCUCCAAGUUCUUCUAACGUUCAAUCAACAACCGUUUUCAAUUUUGCUUUCAAUUUGAGAGUAGAUCUCCGACUUUGAAGGAUACCAAACAGAUUCCAAUCGGGAUGAUAGAUUCUUCUCUAGAUUCAUGUGAACAAAAUUACGAAUUAGAGUUCUAACUUGGAGGACUCCAAUUCAUGUGGACCUUGUGAUAGAAGAAUGAAGACUUAGUCAUUUGGGGAAGUUAAUAAAACGGAGAGUUUUUGUAUCAUAGUUAUAUGGUGCAUUUUGAUCUUACCAUUUGUAUAUGAAUAGCUAGAAAAAUAGAAUGUGAUUUAUCUGAAUCAUCUUGUAAGAAACUGUAUUCUUGGAGGUGUAGAGUUUUCCUCGAAAUAAACUUUGUAUUAGUUCCGUGUGGUUCAUUCUUGAGUUCCUGAAUUCUUGUUGCAGUUCUUGCAUAUUUUUUGCUUGUGUAGAAUACUCAUAAUAAUUGAUAUCAGAGAGGGCGAUCCUCUCAUGGAAGACUACACCAGAUCCACUUUACACCAAGAAAAUUUUCUAAGGCAACAAGAGAAAAUUCAAAGGCAACUCAAUAUUCAUCAAGAAGAUAUAUAAGAAAUUAAUGACCGCAAGGAUCAGGUUUUUGAAAUGUUGAUGUCAUGCAUGGAUCAAAAAUCAAAAUCAGAAUCGGUAUUCAAAAUUAUAACAGCAAUUGUCUGACUCAAGGGUGCAUCAAAGAUCAUGAAGGCUUAGAUAAGAGAAUUUUAUAAGGGAGGAAGACAAGAAAAUAUUUAAACCUGCUCUUGGUGAUGAUUUUGAAGGUCUUGAAGUUACACUUGCUCUUGGUGACGAUAUUUAAGGGAAUAAAGUAUUUAAAGAAAAUAUUACUAAGGCUCUAAAUUCAUUUGAAGAAAAUAGUUUGACUAAAAAUAAAGUUGAGAAUAUGGAAAACAAGAAGGAAUAUGAUAAGUCAAAAAAAAAAAAAAAAUAUGAGAAGUCAGAAAAACAAUAUAUAGAGAAAGAAUGAACUGAAGAUCAGGAGAUGUUUCAAAUCUUGAAAAUGGCAAUAACUCAAGUAUUGAACUUCAUAACACUUGAAAUUCAAGUUCAUGACUGCCGAAAUUCUUGGCGUUCACAAGAUUUCCCAAAGCUUCAAUCUCUUAAACUUGUUGGCUUUUGACUUGUAUUUGGGCGUUUCUAUACUUGACGUCUGUGCAAAAUGCAAGUCUUGGAAGCUUCACUGUAAAGUGUUUGAUGUAAUGACUGAAUGGGUUGUUACGUAUUUCGCCCUCUAGCUGUUUGAUGUAUUGCCACCUCAUUGGCUCUUUGAUAGAGGAAGAGAAAGAAUUCCAGUAGGAAAUCAUCAACCUUAUGGACAAGGCUUUUGAAGGAGAGGAGAAUGUUAGGAUCGAAGUAUACCGAAGUGUACGCGGAAGGAAUUGAAGACGACAAAGGGUUUGGAACUCAGUUGGGUUUAGGUGUUGAGAAGUGUUGAAGUAUGUUGUGAAUAGUAGUGAAAAAGUAUGUGAAAAAUAAUAAUAGAAUAUUAAAUAGUAGUAAAAAGUAAUGAAUAAUAGUAGAAAGUAAGUUAAAAGUAAUAAUAAAGUAAUAAAUAGUAGUGAAAUAUAUUGAGAAGUGUUAUCUCAAUAUCUAAACACAGUCAGAAGUUAAUAAAAUGGGAAGUUUUUGUAUCAUAGUCAUACGGUGCGUUUUAAUCUUACCAUUUGUAUAUAAAUAAAUAGUUGGAAGAAUAGAAUGAUAUCUUUGAAUCAUCUCGUAAGGAACUUAUUUUUGGAGGUGUAGAGUUUUCCUCAAAAUAAACUUUGUGUUAGUUUCGUGUGGUUCAUUCUUGUUUUCUUGAAUUCUUGUUCCAGUUAUUGCAUAUUCUUGUUGUGCAGAAUACCCAUAACAGGGAGAAGAUAGUGGCCGCAUGAUUCACAGAAAAGGGCCAAGGAAUACCAACUUUCAUGGCAGUUGAAGCUCGUCAUAUGUACCUAUUUCCUUCUUAGUUAAUCACAAAUAGGAUUUUGUCAAAUCUAAUACGGAAAAAGUUGAUAUAUAUGGUGCCCAGAUGUUCUCUGGACUGCCUUUGGCUAGAACAAUGCCUAAAAUGCAACCAUCCGCAGAUUGCAAUCUGGUUUCUUCUCAAACUUUCAUGAAUAAGACUGAUAGUGGGCUCUCCUACACCAUCCCUGAUCGGAGAAAGCGUCCUACGGAUUUGUUCAACGAGCUUAAUGCUUUGAUAGUUCCUCAAAAGAGAUCCAAAGCAUCCGAGCUAUCGUCUUUUUUCAACCAGGACAUCAUCUUUCAGGCUCAGCAACAAUAGGAGGUAGAGAUCGUUCGGUUUUUUGCCCAAUAUGUAAUUGUCUAUUCUUUGCUCUGUCUUCCAAUUUUUUUUAAGUUUUCCCAAGAAAUUGGCGAAAAGGAAAAGGGAAAUAAUCGUUUUAUGGUUCUCUCUCUCUCUCUCUCUCUCUCUCUCUCUCUCUCUCUCUCUCUCUCUCUCUCUCUAACCUCGUUUGGGCUUUCGAAACUGUCCAAACUGUCGACACCGCCAUGGAACCACGGAUAAUUCGAGAGAUCAUAGCCAUGCAUCGCCUCCAGCAGUUGGUCUCGAUGCUACAUUUCUGCCACCAAAACGGCGUUUCCCACCACAAUGUGAAGCCCCAAAUCGUCCUCCUGGGCAAAGACGGCAACCUGAAGGUCUCGGGCUCUCAAGAAUGGAUUACUCCCAUUCGACAAUAGCAAUAUCGUAACCAUGUAUGUAGAAGAUUCAUCGCCGAGAUAGAUUAGUCCCACACAAAGAGAAGCGGAGAGAAGAGAAGAGAUGCUACGGAGCGUGGUUCAGUUGUUUGGAGAAGAAGAAAAGGGUAGGUUGGAGAAGAAGAGAAUGGGAGGUUCGGCUUAGGGGGGAAUGGAAGAGAAGGCGUGGAACUCGGAGAUCAAUCCCACACGAAAAUGCAAAAUGCAGUGUUUUUAUUUGGCCCAGUCACAUUUUGGUGUCAACAGUGCGCCAAACCGCUUGCAUUUAGACUUUUCCAAACAGAGUACUCUAAAUAUAGUCAGAAAGUUGCAAUCAGAAGGACGGAAGCCUUGGCUACAGCCACACAUCCUUCACACACGGCAAGUAUCAAUGCAUGAGGUUUUGCUUACAUGCGAAAGGUGGUCUAGAUAACGACGUUUCAGCAACUUGGGCUACAUGUCAGCUUCACAUGUUAGUCGUAUGACAUUGAAUUAGGAAUUGCAGGACCAACAACCGAAGAGACAAGGAGUGCCAUGGUGAGGUCACAAAGGUGAGGCAUUUGUGGUAUGGAGGUGGCCGAAAAGAAAUAGGUCAGUUCAUUUCCAUCGUAGAGCUAAAAAUGUUUCUAUGGGCAAAACAUGGAUACCAUGCUGUACGUGAGUUCAAUCGUGAAGAAGAUACGCAACAAAGAACUCCAUGUUUUUAUAUAGACCAUUGUUCUUGAACAAACAAAAAUACAUAGAGAAAGCAUAAAGAAAUUGGCAAAUAUUUUAUUUUGAUGGGGUAUUUGCAAAUUUCCAAUCAAAUUGAGAAAGCGAAGUUGCUGAUCGUUCGCCAAAAACUUCAUGAAAGGGCACCGCGUCACAAAUUUCUUUGAGAUCGUCUUCAGAGAGCUUUACGGACAAGGAACCAAUGUUGUCAUCGAUGUUCCAAACUUUAGUCGUACCUAACACAUCGAUCAAACCAGAAACAUGAGGAUUAGGAUAUAUAUACAUAUAUGCAAUUAAAGAGAGUAAAUUAUUACCUGGGAUUGGGAAAAUGUUCUCGCCCUGAUGCAGAAGCCACGCCAAAGCUAAUUGAGCAGUAGUGCAGGCAUGCUUUUCAGCCAGAAUAGCAAGUCUGCUAUAAAGAUUUUUGUUUUUCUCUAGAUUUUCCCCACUGAACCUUGGAAGAAAAGCUGGC
Molecule: long non-coding RNA, 5695 nt
Organism: Carya illinoinensis
Lineage: Eukaryota; Viridiplantae; Streptophyta; Magnoliopsida; Fagales; Juglandaceae
Exons: 2
Source: RefSeq, a predicted model, not a curated record